CGUCCCCUGCCGAGGAGGGUCAGAGCCGCCGAGGCCAUGCCCUGCGCAACAACACCGGCGCUGCCGGCACGGCAGUGUGAUAAAGUGUAACCAGGUUGUAAAUGGAUGGGUGAAUAGCACGGUCAAGUCAUGGGAAUACUGUAUAAUGGAAGAGCUGUGGACCGGUCAAACUGAGUCGUGUUCCAUAGUAAGAGAAAGUUGAAGCUCUUUUUAGGCUAUCCACGAGAACCUUUUUAAGGGCACUCAAUCUAGUCAUGUUCGUGCUUUUGAGACUGAAGUGCCCUCAACUAUCAAAUUUCUAUUCCCCCUAGAGCUCCUCACCAGUCCCUCUAGGGUGCUUCUCAGGCAUUGCCAAGCACUUGUGAAGAGGCACUGGGAUUCACAGCAAGACCUGCUCCACAUGCCUGCCCCAUGCCUGCCUCUUGCCUCACCCUCUCCGAGACAACCCCUUCCUCCAUCGUGCACUGUGAAGGGGAUCUGCAUGGGGGAGACUCUCCAUGGAUACAUGAUAAUGAAUGAAAACAUUCUUAUGGGAAACUUGUAACUUUUCUCUGUAAAUCACUAUAUUAGAUGUGGAAUUAGCUGCUUGUAGGCAAUGGAGCUGUUCCUUUAGCAAGCACCAAAUACAAACAGGGUACAGUUUGCACAACAUGUCCCCAGUUCUCUUUAUAAUAAUUCAGCUAUUGAGAAUGGGGAACAAAAAUAAAGAACUUGAUCCAUACCUUUAUAUUUGAGAAUACCACAGCUGACACAUUGGGGAUUAUGCCUGGAAAAUCCAGCCUGGUGUCUGCCUCAAGAUCUUCAGACCUACUUAAAGGUUUCAAAUACCAUGGGCUGCUAUCUGCGCUAGAGACUGACACAUGUUCUUAUCAGAUACUGUCCCUUGUUUGAGAAACAUUGUUUUAGGUAAUGCAGAUAUGAAUGAUACACCACCUCUUUCAACUAGGGGAUAAAAAAAUGCUCACCCACCUUCAAGAAACAAAUACCGAUCCCUACGGUACACCCAAGAAGUCAGAGAAUAAUAUGUGGUAGAGAGAAAAGCAAGAAUAGUCUGGGGACAAAAUGGAAAUUUAGUGAUUCAUAGAUGCAGCUUUCCUUGGAACAAACCAGAACACUGUAUAGAUAUAGAUUUCUCCAUCUUUUUUAAAUAGUUCUGUUGAAUUUCAUUAUUCACAGGGCAGUAGAAAAUGUGUGUUUUGAAAUUCAGUAGUAAAUAAAAUCAGGAAAAUUGAGGCUAUAAUUCUAUGACCUCAUUGCACUUUGGCAUCUCAUUAUGCAUUUCAAAACUGCAUAGAAAAAGGAUGCAUACAAAAACGUGUGAAAAAAAAGAGGGAAAAAGUAAACAAAGAAACAAAUACCACAAAAGAAGCAGUGUAGCGUUUUGUGCAGACUGCAUAAAGCAUUAAGCAUCAUACACUAAUGGAAUAUUUUCCGGAAUUCAGCUUUAAAUUCAGAAAUAUAAUUGGGGAAUGAAGUGGGAGAACUUGUGGCACACUGGAUUUCUACUGGCUUGAAGCAUGGACUGCUCCCCUAAAAUUCAGAAUUCCGUCUCUGGCUCUCUGCUCAGCUGAAUCCCAUUUUCUUCACUGUAUCUAGUGAAGUGUCGUUCAUAAUAUCAGGAGUACGUUCAUACAACAGCAGCUCCAUAUCACUAGGAACAUUGACCAAAUGCUGAUACCAAAUUUCCAUAAGCAGAUUUUAAAUAUGAUAGGUCUAGGCUUGAUGGACAUUCACCAUGAGAGUGGACUGCUGAAAUGGUUGCCUGAUACACUGAGUUUGCAUGGCAAGGUUUUAGUAGUGAAGGGCUGCAGGAGUGGCUUCUAUGAGAGGACAUCAGGAACUGUCAGCAGGCUCCGAGAUGGACCUGCCGCUGGCCAAAGCCAAGCCCCUUAGCAAUGUUGGUAGCACCUCUGUGAUAACAUAUUUAAGAAAGGAUAAAAAAGUGCUGAGCAAUAGCUGUGAUGGAGAGGAAUGAGAAAAAAGAGAAAAACAGCUCUGCAGACACCAAG
Long non-coding RNA from Neopelma chrysocephalum (saffron-crested tyrant-manakin), 2009 nucleotides. RefSeq lists it as uncharacterized. The record is from RefSeq and is a predicted model, not a curated record. NCBI's taxonomy places the organism in Eukaryota, Metazoa, Chordata, Aves, Passeriformes, Pipridae. The transcript has 3 exons.